CCUACGGGAGGCAGCAGUGGGGAAUAUUGCACAAUGGGGGAAAGCCUGAUGCAGCGAUGCCGCGUGGAGGAAGAAGGUCUUCGGAUUGUUAACUCCUUUUUUCAGGGACGAUAAUGACGGUACCUGAAGACAAAGCUCCGGCUAACUACGUGCCAGCAGCCGCGGUAAUACGUAGGGAGCGAGCGUUGUCCGGAAUUACUGGGUGUAAAGGGAGCGUAGGCGGGAUGUCAAGUCAGAUGUGAAAACUGAGGGCUCAACUUUCAGACUGCAUCUGAAACUGCUGUUCUUGAGUGAAGUAGAGGUAAGCGGAAUUCCUAGUGUAGCGGUGAAAUGCGUAGAUAUUAGGAGGAACCUCGGUGGCGAAGGCGGCUUACUGGGCUUUUACUGACGCUGAUGCUCGAAAGCGUGGUGAGCAAACAGGAUUAGAUACCCUUGUAGUC
This 440-nucleotide ribosomal RNA is filed under the name uncultured bacterium. RNAcentral's name for it is "partial 16S ribosomal RNA". It matches the Rfam family "Bacterial small subunit ribosomal RNA", at positions 338 to 795 of the family's 1533-position model. The record is from RNAcentral.